GCGGAGGAGGGAAGGUUGCUCCUGGAUUCAGCGGCGGACGGCUGAGUAAUGCCUCAGGAAUCUGCCUGGUAGUGGCGGAUAACGUCCGGAAACGGGCGCUAAUACCGCAUACGUCCUGAGGGAGAAAGUGGGGGAUCUUCGGACCUCCACGCUAUCAGAUGAGCCUUAGGUCGGAUUAGCUAGUUGGUGGGGUAAAGGCCUCACCAAGGCGACGAUUCCGUAACUGGUCUGAGAGGAUGAUCAGUCACACUGGAACAUGAGACACGGUUCCAGACUCCUUACGGGAGGCAGCAGUGGGGAAUAUUGGACAAUGGGCGAAAGCCUGAUCCAGCCAUGCCGCGUGUGUGAAGAAGGUCUUCGGAUUGUAAAGCACUUUAAGUUGGGAGGAAGGGCAGUAAGUUAAUACCUUGCUGUUUUGACGUUACCAACAGAAUAAGCACCGGCUAACUUCGUGCCAGCAGCCGCGGUAAUACGAAGGGUGCAAGCGUUAAUCGGAAUUACUGGGCGUAAAGCGCGCGUAGGUGGUUCAGCAAGUUGGAUGUGAAAUCCCCGGGCUCAACCUGGGAACUGCAUCCAAAACUACUGAGCUAGAGUACGGUAGAGGGUGGUGGAAUUUCCUGUGUAGCGGUGAAAUGCGUAGAUAUAGGAAGGAACACCAGUGGCGAAGGCGACCACCUGGACUGAUACUGACACUGAGGUGCGAAAGCGUGGCGAGCAAACAGGAUUAGAUACCCUGGUAGUCCACGCCGUAAACGAUGUCGACUAGCCGUUGGGAUCCUUGAGAUCUUAGUGGCGCAGCUAACGCGAUAAGUCGACCGCCUGGGGAGUACGGCCGCAAGGUUAAAACUCAAAUGAAUUGACGGGGGCCCGCACAAGCGGUGGAGCCAUGUGGUUUAAUUCGAAGCAACGCGAAGAACCUUACCUGGCCUUGACAUGCUGAGAACUUUCCAGAGAUGGAUUGGUGCCUUCGGGAACUCAGACACAGGUGCUGCAUGGCUGUCGUCAGCUCGUGUCGUGAGAUGUUGGGUUAAGUCCCGUAACGAGCGCAACCCUUGUCCUUAGUUACCAGCACCUCGGGUGGGCACUCUAAGGAGACUGCCGGUGACAAACCGGAGGAAGGUGGGCGAUGACGUCCAAGUCAUCAUGGCCCUUACGGCCAGGGCUACACACGUGCUACAAUGGUCGGUACAAUGCGUUGCCAAGCCGC
This 1207-nucleotide ribosomal RNA is filed under the name Pseudomonas aeruginosa. Its description in RNAcentral is "bacterial SSU rRNA". It matches the Rfam family "Bacterial small subunit ribosomal RNA", at positions 66 to 1258 of the family's 1533-position model. Lineage: Bacteria; Pseudomonadati; Pseudomonadota; Gammaproteobacteria; Pseudomonadales; Pseudomonadaceae. The record is from RNAcentral.